AACGAACGCUGGCGGCAUGCCUAACACAUGCAAGUCGAACGAGACCUUCGGGUCUAGUGGCGCACGGGUGCGUAACGCGUGGGAACCUGCCCUUAGGUUCGGAAUAACUCCCCGAAAGGGGUGCUAAUACCGGAUAAUGUCUUCGGACCAAAGAUUUAUCGCCUUUGGAUGGGCCCGCGUUGGAUUAGCUAGUUGGUAGGGUAAAAGCCUACCAAGGCGACGAUCCAUAGCUGGUCUGAGAGGAUGAUCAGCCACACUGGGACUGAGACGCGGCCCAGACUCCUACGGGAGGCAGCAGUGGGGAAUAUUGGAAAAUGGGCGAAAGCAUGAACCAGCAAGGCCGCGUGAGUGAUGAAGGCCUUAGGGUUGUAAAGCUCUUUUACCCGGGAUGAUAAUGACAGUACCGGGAGAAUAAGCUCCGGCUAACUCCGUG
Molecule: ribosomal RNA, 433 nt
Filed under: uncultured bacterium
Lineage: Bacteria
Description: partial 16S ribosomal RNA
Rfam family: Bacterial small subunit ribosomal RNA
Source: RNAcentral